CCGUCUGUCAUCGUAUAAGAAGUAGAGGGGUUUGUCAGAAGAACUGUAGUUCAGAGUUCCAGCAGGACAGAAUGGAGUCCACCUUGAUCUGUGUGUUACUCUUGCUGAAUACAUACAUCAACUCUGGACACUCUGAAGAUGAUGAUGGAGUGUCGAAGGCUGUUCUGACCAUACACCCCAACAGCUCCCAGAUAUUCAGUGGAGAGUCUGUCACUCUCAGAUGUGACAUACAGGGGGGAGGAGUCACUGACUAGAAAUACACAUGGAGAACACCCAGUCCAGAUCAAUGCCUCCGUUCUUAUAACCACUUGAAAGUGGGCCUCAUUUAAAGGAUGCUGUUUAGUUGUUUUAAAAACAUAUGUUGUAUGUUUCUGCAGCUCUGCUCAAAGCUACACUGACUGUACAACCAAACCCUGUGUUCCCUGGAGAGACAGACGUUUUCAGAGUAACUGAUUCUGACAGUAUCUGGAACUAUCAGUGGUACAAAGACAGGAAUUAAAUUCCUCUGUUUUAAUACCCAAUUAAAAUUAAUCACUCUGUCAAUUCAUAA
This is a long non-coding RNA of Oncorhynchus kisutch (coho salmon), 550 nucleotides long. RefSeq lists it as uncharacterized. The record is from RefSeq and is a predicted model, not a curated record. NCBI's taxonomy places the organism in Eukaryota, Metazoa, Chordata, Actinopteri, Salmoniformes, Salmonidae. The transcript has 3 exons.